UAUGAAUGGAAGGAAUGGAUAGGAAAGUACAGGAUGUGAAUGUGUCUGGUCUUCUAGUGGAAUACAGUGCUUACAAUACCUGGUCAAAUGGCAUGAAAGAAGGAAUUCUUCCCAACUGCUCAGCUCCUGGAUUACUGAUAUAACUAAUAGACUUAUCCUUCACCUUGUUUACUCCAUCUUCAUGGAUUUUUUUGUCUUUGUUUCAUUAGAGGCAGACACUGGACUGGCUGAGCCAAGCUGACAAACUUCAUUACCAAUAGCUGAAAAAAAUCGAACUAAAGACGCACAGGAAGUGAGUAUGGCACCAUCUGCAUCGGUUCUCUUGUCCAAGUGGAAGCUACCCUCUGCCUAAGUGCAGGAGAGGCUGAACCAGCAUCCUUCCCCAGACAAAAGCAUGAUCUGCAUGCCUGGAAGAUGAAAACCAUAUGUGGAUUAUACCUCUUUCACAGUUGUCAUCAUUGCCUUUGUAUCAGCCUGGAG
This 480-nucleotide long non-coding RNA is filed under the name Gallus gallus (chicken). RNAcentral describes it as "long non-coding RNA NONGGAT003429". The record is from RNAcentral. Lineage: Eukaryota; Metazoa; Chordata; Aves; Galliformes; Phasianidae.